This 812-nucleotide long non-coding RNA is filed under the name Vigna radiata. Its description in RNAcentral is "long non-coding RNA (VRAD_LNC010596)". Lineage: Eukaryota; Viridiplantae; Streptophyta; Magnoliopsida; Fabales; Fabaceae. The record is from RNAcentral.
AACCAGGCGAAAUGGAGGCUCAGAUGGCUGAAGUUGGAACUGAGUAUGUGUUGAAAAACAUUCUGACAACUCGAAAACCUGGUCCUCCGAUAUUUCCCAAGGGAGAGUAUGGAACCGGGUUCAAUCCAGAUAUGCCGAAUUCCUUACCCUCUUGGCUCACGCAAGAUGAUCUUGCCUAUUACGUAUCCAAAUAUGAGAAAACGGGCUUCACAGGACCCUUGAACUAUUACAGAAAUAUGAACUUGUAAUUAAUCUAUGAUUUCCUUUUCGGUUAAAAUUUAUCAGAAAGACAUGUAAUUGAUUAACUGUAUUGCUGCUUACAGAAAUUGGGAGCUGACAGCACCAUGGAGUGGAGGAAAAAUUCAAGUGCCGGUAAAGUUCAUCACAGGUGAGUUGGACAUGGUGUACACCUCACUGAACAUGAAGGAGUAUAUCCACGGUGGAGGUUUCAAACAAGAUGUUCCAAAUUUAGAAGAAGUGAUUGUGCAGAAAAAUGUAGCUCACUUCAAUAAUCAAGAAGCAGCUGAGGAAAUCAAUAAUCAUAUUUACGAUUUUAUCAAGAAGUUUUAAUCACAGAACGAAUAGAAUACUGAUAAAAAAAACAACGAAUUGAAUAUGGAACACACAGUCGAAAGGUUGUAGGUGACGAAGACUCUGAAUGGUUACCGAUGGGUUUAUCUUAUCCUUUUAUCAACUAUCAUAUCAUUGUCACCACUGUUGUCACUACAUCUUGUCUUUCUCUUUUUUUCUUUUCUUUUCCUUUUAUUCCUCUUCUCACCCAUAUUCUCUUAAUAAAAAAAAUCAUUAAAUUC